Piliocolobus tephrosceles (Ugandan red Colobus) is the source of this 1178-nucleotide long non-coding RNA. RefSeq lists it as uncharacterized. The transcript has 3 exons. Lineage: Eukaryota; Metazoa; Chordata; Mammalia; Primates; Cercopithecidae. The record is from RefSeq and is a predicted model, not a curated record.
GAUGGGAAAACUGAGACUGAGCUAUGAAGUGCUUUUCCCAACGUCUCCCACCCCAAAGCAGAUACCCCAUUUGUGCAAACUGGAAAAUGUACUUGGAGCAUUUAACACACUGCCCAGCACAUAUUAGGAGCUGGGUUAACAUUAAAGGAAGAAGGAAGUCAGGGAGUUGCUUCCUCAUCUGGGGACACCAAGGUGGCUGAGGCAGUCACCAGACGGAAGCAGGUUUGGGGAAGGCAGGAGUUCAUUUUAGGGGGUAAUGGGUCUGAAAGCUAGGGGACCUGAGGUGGGGAUAUUGUGAAGGUAGCUGGUGUCCAGGGUUUCGGGCCUUGCUCCUGGAGUCCUUUGGCCUGAACUCCAUGAAGAGGACAUUGUGAGAGAACGACUCACCUUCUCUCCUGCGUGGAUCUUGAAGGACACGCCCUGCACAGCCAGCGGGAGCUCAGGUGACCUGCUUUCCUCAAGCUCAGAAGCAAAGGAACCAAGAUUUGGCCUGGCUCCAGACCUUAUGCUCCUAACCAUUGCUGCCACCGUGUCUGUGACUCUGACCUAUAGAGGUCUGUCCAGUUGCGAACAACCCACUGCAGCGUCUGGGUCACCUGGUGCAAGAAAGCAUCUCUGACUGGGUUCGGCAAGGCCACUUGAGGGCUUGCAACAGCCCCGCUGGUUUCCCAACCUUUGCUGCGAGGCCAGACGCAGGGGAGUAAAGACGGGAGGCAGGAAUGGGGAAGCUGUACAAACUGGCUUGAUGCAGGUGAGACAGGAUCAGAGACGGUGUGUGGCCCUCCCAGGGACACCCAGCAGGACCCAGGCCCGCUGAUUCCUUUCUGACAGCUUCCCCACAGCAACCGGUGGCCACCAAUUUCCCGUGACACUUGGAACCACUCCAAGCUCCUCCCUAUGAACCAUGACCGGCUCUAGUCCUGCCAUCCCAUCCCCAAACUUGUCUCCCAGCAUCCCUGCCUUCACCCACCCUCUCUGGCCACACCUGCCUUCCUGCUGUUCCUCUAACACACCAGGGAUGAACCUUCAACUCCCAGUCCUCACUCCCUCCUAAGUCACCUCCUCAGAGAGGCCUUCCUGGAUGCAGGAGGAAAAUGCCUCCACCGCCACCCAACAUGCUCCGGCCUCUUACUUCAUCCUGAAGCUUAGCAGCCUUGACUGUAGAAUGAGGAUAAUAA